Molecule: unclassified non-coding RNA, 231 nt
Filed under: Nigrospora oryzae
Lineage: Eukaryota; Fungi; Ascomycota; Sordariomycetes; Amphisphaeriales; Apiosporaceae
Description: partial internal transcribed spacer region
Rfam family: Eukaryotic small subunit ribosomal RNA (bases 1-48)
Source: RNAcentral
AAAAGUCGUAACAAGGUCUCCGUUGGUGAACCAGCGGAGGGAUCAUUACAGAGUUAUCCAACUCCCAAACCCAUGUGAACUUAUCUCUUUGUUGCCUCGGCGCAAGCUACCCGGGACCCAGCGCCCCGGGCGGCCCGCCGGCGGACAAACCAAACUCUUGUUAUCUUAGUUGAUUAUCCGAGCGUCUUAUUUAAUAAGUCAAAACUUUCAACAACGGAUCUCUUGGUUCUG